UUACAUGGCUUUUGCAUGUUGAGCUCUCUGCAACUCUCACAUGGUCGCCCACUGAAGCUUAGCAGGACUGCGCCAGGUCAGUACCUGGAUGGGAGACCACAUGGGAUAGCUAGGUUGCUGCCGGAA
Molecule: ribosomal RNA, 126 nt
Filed under: Danio rerio (zebrafish)
Lineage: Eukaryota; Metazoa; Chordata; Actinopteri; Cypriniformes; Danionidae
Source: RNAcentral